GAUGAACGCUGGCGGCGUGCCUAAUACAUGCAAGUCGAACGGGGAGUAGCAAUACUCUUAGUGGCGAACGGGUGAGUAACGCGUUGGUACCUGCCCCGAAGCGGGGGAUAACAGACCGAAAGGUCCGCUAAUACCCCAUGUGCUCGGUAACGAGUAAAGGUGAAAACCACUUUGGGAGGGGCCUGCGUCCCAUCAGCUAGUUGGUAAGGUAACGGCUUACCAAGGCGAUGACGGGUAGGGGACCUGAGAGGGUGGCCCCCCACAAUGGAACUGAAACACGGUCCAUACACCUACGGGUGGCAGCAGUAGGGAAUAUUGGUAAUGGGCGCAAGCCUGAACCAGCAACGCCGCGUGGGCGAUGACGGCCUUCGGGUUGUAAAGCACUUUUGACUGGGACGAGGAAGGACGGUACCGGUCGAAUCAGCCUCGGCUAACUACGUG
RNAcentral lists this ribosomal RNA (441 nucleotides) under uncultured bacterium. RNAcentral's name for it is "partial 16S ribosomal RNA". It matches the Rfam family "Bacterial small subunit ribosomal RNA", at positions 28 to 507 of the family's 1533-position model. The record is from RNAcentral.